GACGAACGCUGGCGGCGUGCCUAACACAUGCAAGUCGAGCGGAGUUGACAAGAGGAAGUUUUCGGAUGGAAUCUUGCCAGCUUAGCGGCGGACGGGUGAGUAACGCGUGAGCGACCAACCUUGCAUAGGGGGAUAACGGACCGAAAGGUUCACUAAUACCGCAUGAGACCACGGUGUUGCAUGACACAGGGGUCAAAGGAGGAAUCCGGUGCAAGACGAGCUCGCGUCCGAUUAGGUAGUUGGAGGGGUAACGGCCCACCAAGCCUAUGAUCGGUAGCCGACCUGAGAGGGUGAUCGGCCACAUUGGAACUGAGAUACGGUCCAAACUCCUACGGGAGGCAGCAGUGGGGAAUAUUGGGCAAUGGGGGAAACCCUGACCCAGCAACGCCGCGUGAAGGAAGAAGGUUUUCGGAUUGUAAACUUCUGUCCUUGGUGAAGAGAAGAAGACGGUAGCCAAGGAGGAAGCCCCGGCUAACUACGUGCCAGCAGCCGCGGUAA
This 498-nucleotide ribosomal RNA is filed under the name uncultured bacterium. RNAcentral describes it as "partial 16S ribosomal RNA". It matches the Rfam family "Bacterial small subunit ribosomal RNA", at positions 28 to 523 of the family's 1533-position model. The record is from RNAcentral.